This is a long non-coding RNA of Alexandromys fortis (reed vole), 888 nucleotides long. RefSeq lists it as uncharacterized. The record is from RefSeq and is a predicted model, not a curated record. The transcript is spliced from 2 exons. NCBI's taxonomy places the organism in Eukaryota, Metazoa, Chordata, Mammalia, Rodentia, Cricetidae.
GCAGGGGGCGGGGCUGACACAAGGGACGAGGCUGGCGCAAUGGCCUGGGCAGACCCCAGAGCUGGUAUAACCCACCAGGCGGGGCGUGCUGGGGAAGACCUUGCGCAUGCGCAUGCACUUCUCCUUGUCGAUGCAUAAGCCUCAGCCUGAGCGUCUGUAGGGUGUCGUCUAUAGUGAAAACUUCGUUCACGAGCCUGCGGUGGGGCGGAGAGAAACCUCAGAGACAUUCCUUUCAGCACAGCCACCCCGUGUGCAGCAGGGAAGGUGCCUCGGGUGGCCACAGCACUGCAGUCCUCAGCCCUGGAAGGAAGGACAGGUGGACGCGCCCCUCUGGGAGGGUCACCCAGGCUGACAAAGCACUGAGGCAACAGAUGGGACAAAGGGCAGAAUCUGACAAUAAUUUAAACAUAGGUUUGCCCCCAGAACCUGCAAUCCGUCUCUUGCUUCUCCAACCUAAACUGAAGACAGAUCUUCACACCAAGUGUCCACAGCAGCGCUGUCCACCAUGGCCCAGAAGAGGGAAAGACAAACGGUGGUAUGGCCACACUGUGAAACUAUUCAGUGUAACAGAAGCCACGGUUCACUCUGUUUUUGUCUCUGAGAAGGUGUCAUUGUGCUGGCCAUAGUGACAUUGUCUCCAACUCCAGUGCUCAAGCUGCCCUCCUGUCUAAGCCACUCAAGCAUACCUGACCUAUUAUGUGACUUGUUUUGCCUUGCUUUUGCCCCCUCCCCCCACCUUCUCCUUCCCUUUCCUGUCCUGGUCUCACAUAGUCCAGGCUGACCUCAGAUUCUCUACACAGCUAAAGGGUGACCACCUGGAACACCUCCUCCUUUUUCCUUCACCUCCCAAGAGUUGAGAUUAUAGGCAUGAGUCCUUUUUUGAAUGUG